UGGCUAUACCCAAAUUUUCUGUAGAACUGAUGCAAUAUGGAUUCAAUCAUAGUAGCCUCUGCAGGAGAAAUUUUUUUUUUCUCCUUAGCCCAGACAGCUCCAGGUUUAAGAACGUUCAUUGGGAGGGAAGGCUAAAGGGGUUAAGGAAAUAAGACGCAAUAGAGGUGACCUAUGAGAACUUUCAUUAUUAUAUGGAGCCUUGAUGAGUGAAAUGAGAGGGACUGCUCUCCAUCAUGAAAGGCUGAAAUGUCGAGGGAGCAAUCGCAAAUUAAUCUAUUAAGAAUAAGUAGGAGGUUGAACAGUGUGACUCAAAAGGAUGGAAAUAUAUGGAAUAAACUGCAGCAUAAAGUCAUGAUGAUUUUUAAAUGCAUCCUUAAAGACACCCGCCUACGAUUUUUCCAAUGAAGCAGGGAUUUUUUUCUGUAUAUCUAUAUAUGAGACAAAGUUUAAGCAGACAAAAUGGGCCUCUUUCUAUUCAGCUACUCCCAAGAUUUGUGAUGACCUGGCCUGGAUGAGAAGUUCUCUUCUGAUUUGUGUGGCUUUAACCAGAACAAUGUGCCAGGGAUUUUUCUUUUUUAAAAGACACUCCAAUAAAAUGCUUCACAGGCGGUUUUCUCUGUGAUCAUGCACAGUCAAGGCUGGGGAAAUUUCUCCGUGUCAGCCUGGUGAGGGACAGCCCUGCAGCCUGAGGAGACCAGCUUCCAGGAGGAAAAAUGCUGAACACAUAAAAGCAAAAUGGCUUGCUGCCUUAAUCUCACUUCGUGCCAUUGCCCUCCGAUGAGAGAAUCCUCCUGGUACCUGCGAUUUGUCAUUGGAGCGAAGGGAAGGGCUACGCGCACUACUUGCUCCUAUCUUCCGCGAUGCUCAAGCUGUCACUUGCUGUAUUCAAAUGUAUCAGUAUCUUGUUUCAGGUACUUCACAGAUACCUUGGACUCUCCUGCUGGGACUGUGACUCAGCCUGCUUCAGCUUUCCUGAAACUGAUUGAAGACAAUCUCUACUCCCAGCUCUGA
RNAcentral lists this long non-coding RNA (1011 nucleotides) under Anas platyrhynchos platyrhynchos (common mallard). RNAcentral's name for it is "lncRNA (ENSAPLG00000024233.1)". The record is from RNAcentral. Lineage: Eukaryota; Metazoa; Chordata; Aves; Anseriformes; Anatidae.